UGCUGGGAGGUCAGACCCUGUGAGGGCUGUGGGGGCAUCAGGCGCAGUGGGCUCCAGGGAGCCUGGCCUGAGACCUGCCCAGUGCAUUGAGGGUGCACCUGGAGCCCACUCCGCCUGAUGCCCCCACAGCCCUCGCAGGGUCUGACCUCCCAGCAUGCACCUGCCCCUCCCUGCACCCCAGAUGUCCACCCUACCUGUUCCCUGACUUCCUCCAUCCUGUCCAGCAGGAUGGGCUGGACAGUGGGACAGCCUGUGUGCACAUUUUGUGGCAAGUAGGAGUGACACACCAUCCCUGGGAGGCACCAUGGUUCCUGCCAAACCCAACCCCAGAACUCUGUCCCUGAGGUGGUUUUACCAAAACCCAAAACCCAGAAUUGUGCUUGUGGCUCAGGGGUCAGCACCUGCUAGUACCAGGACACUACUGGGAGGCUGGGACCUGACCGAAGCCCAUGGUGUCUGUGGCCUGAGGACAGGGUGUGUUGGGGCCAUAAGUCCCGGCCACCAAUGGCCAUUGGGUCCUAGGGCCUCAGCCCCAGUGUUUGCCCUUCCCUGGCUCCUUCUGGUUCAGUCCCAUUAGGGCCCUGGAGCCCAAGACCCAGCACCCAAGGUCCCCUCCAGGAAUACUGGCGGCUUGGCUUCCUUUAUCAUGUUUCAUCUGAGAGCAAAAAUGUCAGAUCGGAUGCACAGAAAAAUGGCCCAAAUUGUUUAAUAACUAGAAGAAAUAUAGGAGCAGCAAGAGGGUAAUAUGGAGAGGGGAGGGCCUCCAUGACCGGUGUCUGCAGAGCCAGGGGUACAGGCACCCAGUGUUGUGGCCUGGCACCACCGGCCUCUCAGAGCGUGGGUGGCCCACUGUCUUUACCCGGAGGACAGCAGGCCUGAUCACCAGCUUUUCUACCUGUCCCUGUAAGCAUCACGUUGCUAGAAGAAAAUCUCAUGCCAGAGCUUGCACCAUCCCUAGCUUGGGGGUUAGGGGUUGUCUCUUGGUGACCUAAAUGAAAAAAUAGGUCCAGAUCAGAGUUCCUGACGCAGAGCACUCACCCACUCUUUGAAUCGUGGGAGGGGAGGCCUGGUUUUAGUUAAACCUAACCUCUUUGAGGAACCACAGAGCCCAAGACUGGAAGCCUUCAGAAUCUUCUGGCCCCCAACCCUCCCUGGGGACCCCUGUGGCCUGUCUCACCAGAGCACUCUUCUGUCUGUAGAUGUCUCAGCUGCUCUACAAGGGAGUCCCAUUUCAGGUGUGGGGCUGGGCAUGGUCACUCCUGCUGGAUGUCUAGAAGGUGGAAACUAAGGACCUAGGAAAAUGCCAGAUACAGCCUUUCCACCCUCAUCCAGAGCAGGACAAACAGGCCCGGUGGUGUCAGGAGCCCAGGUCUCCAGCUGGAGGGAACGUCAACCCUGCAGUGGGAGCAGGGGCCCAUCGCACAUCCUAGGCACAGAUGCUAAUGCAGGCACUGCAGAAGCACUGCUGACUGUAAGUGGUUGCCGUUUGUGGCAGUGAGCAUUUUGUCCAUUCUGAGGUUGGAUUGGUUUCUCCUUUUGGCCUUGCCCUGCCCUACAGACCAUAAAGGAGAACAGCAAGAAGCCCCCAGCAAACAUCCACAUAUGGCCCUGGACAUCAGCCACAUUCUGAGGAACAUGUCAUGUUCUGGGAGGGCUAAGGCAUCAACCUUACCCUGUAGGAAUUCUAGUGACUAUGUUGCCACCAUCUUGGAGCUCCAUGCCCUCAUAGUGUAAUGGCACCAGCAGAUCUGCCUGUGCACAGACUUCCUGUACUACCUCACUCCUGAGGGGAGAUGCUUCUGCGGGCCUGCGACCUGGUGCUCAACUUUAGACACCAUCAUCCUGGAGCGGCACUGCACCCUCACUAGCCAGGGUGUUGACGUCCUCAAGGCCAAGGCCACAUUCAAGACUUUGGACUUCAUUGAUGCACUUGUGCCGAGCAAGCUUAUCUGAUCUUCUGGGAUCUCUACUAGGAUGCUGGCAGCCCAGCCAGCUGGUCUGGCCCUGGACGUGCCUUCAGGGGCUGGGUAUGCUUCAUGACCUGUGUUUUGGUGAGUGGUAAGCAGCACCUGCUUCUAGCUUCACUGUUGGGCCAGAUUUCAUCCCCACCGUGGCUCUUCAUUGCGGCUGCUUUCUGCUCCCUCCAUGGACCCUGCGUGGAAUUGCCCCAUGUUUCUGUUUGGGCACCACUGAGGAAGGAAGCAUGAAGGACGCACAGGUCAGGCCAUUCUGUUGCCCACCUCGUGCUGGGUCUUUACUCCUGGGAUGGCUUCAGGGGCAGCUCCUUUUCCAUGCCUCCCCCCACCCAACAUCUCUCAGGUUGCUGCUCAAAGGUCACCUCUUGGAGGGGUCUCUCCCUGUCACUGUGUUUGGAACAGCUCCCUCAGUUUCUUUCUAGCUCAUCUCACUCUGGUAAUGUCUUUCAUUACCACCACCAUCUGACCUGGUCUUACGACCUGUUAGCUUCCUUCAUCAGACAAGAGCACCAGGAUGGCAGGGGCCUCAUCUGUCCUGUUCCUCCUGUGGCCUGGGUCCUAGCACCAUGUCUGGUACAGUGUAGGUGCUCAAGGGAAGUUUACUUUAUAGAACUGUCUACCUGGGAGAGGUUACUGUUAGUCUAAGCUGCACUAUUUGGUAAACCCCUUGCUGUUUUGCAGAUCCUGGUUGGAGUAAAACAUUCCAUGGGAACUCGGGCUGUGAGAAAUGUCCUAACCACCUGACUGCAGAAACAUCCUUAUCACAUCCUGCUGGGCAAAGGCCCAACAGCCUGACUUCAGGAACAUCCUUAUCAUCUUCUACUGAGCAGCAAGCUAUACUGUCCAGAGCCCUCCCUCCCAGCGCUAUGAUUACCCCAGCCUGUGAGCGGCAGUGGGCACUGACACUAAGCUGGUUUCCCCCUCCGCAGGGUUUUGCUAGUAAUAAACCUGUGUUGCUGUUGAA
This 2940-nucleotide long non-coding RNA is filed under the name Homo sapiens (human). Its description in RNAcentral is "PREDICTED lncRNA (TCONS_00265224)". The record is from RNAcentral. Lineage: Eukaryota; Metazoa; Chordata; Mammalia; Primates; Hominidae.